Molecule: long non-coding RNA, 716 nt
Organism: Poecile atricapillus (Black-capped chickadee)
Lineage: Eukaryota; Metazoa; Chordata; Aves; Passeriformes; Paridae
Exons: 4
Source: RefSeq, a predicted model, not a curated record
GGCAGGGCUCGCUGCUGGGGAGCGGCGGCUGCGGCAGCGUUUACUCCGGGACCCGGCUCGCCGACGGACCCUGUCAGACCCUAUAAAAGUGUGCUACAGAUAGAAAUAAACGGCGCUCACUAUACUUCUGUGGAGACUCGAACACCAGAAUACAGCCCACCGGAAUGGAUCCUCUUCGGCUGCUACCGUGGCCAGCCAGCCACCAUCUGGUCCCUGGGUAUCCUGCUCUACGACCUGGUCUGCGGGCACCUUCCUUUCCACACCAAUGAGGACAUCAUCCGGGGCCAGCUCUUCUUCCCACCCCGGGCAUCUCAAGGCUUCCUUGCUGAAUCUCACUGAAGGGGAUGUGAAGAAGGAGUCAUUGGGUCUCCCUCUGAUCCCCCCGAUACGCAGGGCAGUAAGUCCCGAUGUUGGCAGUGCUGCAGGGUCUCUGAAAAGCUCUCUGCAGCUGGAUGUCCAAGAGUCCCAGGAGAUGAGCUUCUUCUAGAGACACAAUGUCAAGGAAGAAGUGGGUGGACACCUCCCAUAAAGAGCAGCCCUUUGCAGCCUCUCCAUCCAGGUGGCCUCCCUCCCCUGCCUGGCUGGAAGGCUGAUGCUCAGACCUCCCACCCUCUGGGCCUCACCUUAGCCCCACCUGGCAUGCCCAGCUGCUUCUGCUAGUAUUUAAGGAGCUCUUAAUAAUACUGUGCUACUUAAACGCACAUUGGGAUGUAGCU